AGCAGCCGCGGUAAUUCCAGCUCCAAUAGCGUAUAUUAAAGUUGUUGCAGUUAAAAAGCUCGUAGUUGAAUUUCGGGGUUUAUCCGUUGGUCGGGCUUUUGGGUCUGUACUGGCGUGAUGGAUUCCUACCUUCUGAAUAACCAGCAUGUCAUUAAUUUGGUGCGCUGGGGAAGCAGGACUGUUACCUUGAAAAAAUUAGAGUGCUUAAAGCAGGCUAUUGCCUGAAUACAUUAGCAUGGAAUAAUGAAAUGGGACGCAUGGUUCUAUUUUGUUGGUUUCUAGGAUCACCGUAAUGAUUAAUAGGGAUAGUUGGGGGCAUUAGUAUUCAAUUGUCAGAGGUGAAAUUCUUGGAUUUAUUGAAGACUAACUUCUGCGAAAGCAUUCGCCAAGGAUGUUUUCAUUAAUCAAGAACGAAAGUUAGGGGAUCGAAGACGAUCAGACACCGUCGUAGUCUUAACCAUAAACUAUGCCGACUAGGGAUCGGACGAUGUUAAUUUUUUAAUGACUCG
Molecule: ribosomal RNA, 509 nt
Filed under: uncultured Acaulospora
Lineage: Eukaryota; Fungi; Glomeromycota; Glomeromycetes; Diversisporales; Acaulosporaceae
Description: SSU rRNA
Rfam family: Eukaryotic small subunit ribosomal RNA
Source: RNAcentral